GUCUGGGAGGGAGAGAGGAGUAAAAGAAAUGACUUGCCAUAAGCGGUGAGAGCCCAGGCCAGGAACAAGGCACGAUCUCUGUGUCCUGUGGACUCCUCCCCUAAAGAGGCGGUCACCUAAGUGACUGGGAGGGAGGCUGCGGUGGUUCCGGGACCCCGGCGAGCUCCACGAACAGCAUGCUGGUGGCACUGACCAGCGAGCGGGUCACCCUUCGUCUGCAGCUCUGAAGGGGCACAGGAGGGUGGCCCCGACUGACACCCGUCUUGUGUACACGGCAAGGAUGAGCGAGGCCCCAACGUUCGAUCCAACUGAGGAGAAAAGCAUACGGUGGAAGUCCCCUGAGCCGUGAAGCUCUCUCUGCAUGUUGAUAAGAAAAGGAUCACUACUGGGCCGAGUUGGAAAUCGUGGGAAGCUCACCUUCCUGCCCUAGCUGCAAAUGUGUACUGCAGUUCAGUCACCCGGUUCAGUGUGAAGUUCUUUCGUGCCACCUGCAGUCACUUAGGGUGGAUCCGGCGUUCUGCCUUGCCCUGGUGGUGCCCCCGGCCUUGGCACAGUGGGCAGAAGAGCCCGGCGGUGCACUCAGGCCCACUCAGCGUGACAAGAGCACGUACUUGGGCAAACAACGGCCGCCCGCCCCCCGUUGCUCUCAAAAGAGGCCACCAAACUCCCCGUAUCUUUUCUGGCUCCACCGACAACUUUUUCUUGUCAGCUGUGAAAAAUGAGUCCCCCCCGCUCUACAGAAUUCUGCCAUUCAAGCGGCUGUCCUGUCUUCCAGUUCACUUCCCAUCCUAUCGGAGCAAAGGAGGUAUAAGACGCUUCAUGGAAAACGAAGGUCCCCUUGCAGGAAGGGAACUCACCGGCUGCCUUCGGGGGCCCAGCCUUCACCACACCGCCCUGGCCUGUCGGCCCCUCGGGCUCCUCUUCCUGUCUUUAUUAAUGCCGAGCCCUGGAGUCGCCCAUGUACGUGUUUCCAGUUCCCUUUCCACUGGGUCCCUCUCCUGGAAACCCACGCACUCGUCCUUUCACAUCAGGACUUCUGCCUCUGCUUUCACACGCGCCCUUCUGCUCUUUGCACAACUCCCCCCCCCCCCUCCUUGACCGACCUGUGGCCUGGUUCUCUUCUCCGGCCUCCUGCGGCACACCUGUCUACUCUUCCCGUUAUCUGGAGUGGGGAUCUGUUCGGCUUUGUUCUCCAUGUCUGUGUUCUCUCUCCGUCUAGUGAGUGUGUGAGUCGGGGAACGCACAAAGCACGGCUCUGACCCAAGGGCACUGAGAGAUGGCAGUGCCCUUCUCCCCUCCCUGCACCCUGGAGGACAGGAGCUGUGCUGUGCAAGACUCUGGGUCCCCAUGUCAUCGUGCCCAGGCACAGCAGCCGGUGCGUUUAGGGACUCGGGCACCAUCCGCUAGGUGACCAGCAGGGCGGGAGAAGGGUCUGGUUAGCAGAGUUAACAGCCUGCUGGUAUUACCAUCAGAGCAGGGGCACCCGAGACGCUUCGAGGGCAGUGGCUAGAACAGGAUGGGAACUUUGAGGUCUAACGCGGCACGGCCUACGGCCUGUUCUGCCAGUAGAAGAACGAACUAAAACGUAUAAACCAAGAAGAAUGAAGGUGGUAAGAAAUAAAAGAAACCCCUAAUUCUUUGGGGGAGAACACUCCCAGCAAUGCAUUUUUACUUCAAUGUCUGAUUAAGAAAUUCACUGGGGUUUGAUUGAUUUUUUUCGUAUCAAGAUAUCCCUUGUAACUUUCUACCUUUCGAAUCUAGCAAAAUACUUCACUAUCACUUCAAAAGGUGAAGUGGAUUACUGCCUCCGUUAGGUACCUCAUAAAAUACUUCGAACGGACCUCAUUUAACUCUGUCCCCGGGACAGCCUCACAACGCGGAAGAACAGCCCUUCAGGGGUACCUGUCACCAUGGCGGCGAUCGUCAGCAUCUCCUCUACGCAGUCGAAUUCACAGGACGCUAAGAUCGACUUUGAGAGUUGGGGGUCAAGAGGAAACUCCGACAUGAUGAUCCCAAACUCCGAGAGAUUCCCGUCAUUGUCCAGUGCCGCCAGGUAGUCCAAGUCUUCCAGAGCCUGCAUCAGACUUUCCGGCGCUAGCAAAGAAAAAAGCAGCGGCAGCUUACGUCAUCUACAGCCAAGAGGGCGUAACGUACUGGACCUCCCUUCCCGCACCUAACAACCCUACGGGGCAAAAUAUGCGAAACAACCGUUUGCGAGACAACGGACGUCGGGCCGUGAACGACAGUGAUUCCUGAGAGGGGGACGCUAAUGAGGUGAGCCCCGUGGCUGCCCAGCUUAAGGCCUGGGGAGAGUUUCCCGCCUGCAGUGCCAGUGGGGACCCAGGUGGGGCCUGCCAGACUCCCUGAGUUAUAAAGAUGGUGCUGAGCGUGUGGGGAGACUCAGGCGGCCAGGGCCUGCAGGUGGGGGAACACCUGACAGGAGAGAGCCAUAGACAGGACUCAGAAGAUCUCUGAAAGGUCCCCUCGAUGCAUCGGCAGAGCACGUGUAAGAAACUACAUCAGGCCGCAACAAGAACCAUCCAGACGAUCAGACGGACAGUGCCUGAUGCUCACACGGGAUCUAGGAUACUGUCCACUUCUACCCACUGGGCUGGGGAACCUCACAACUCAGGGGCCCUGGGCAGGAGACACGGAAGGGACGAACUACCCUCCGGACGUGCACCGCUCCAUUCCGCCAAACAAACAAAACCAGGAUCUGGAAGGAUCAUCCUGCAGCCAGGAUAAAGGUCAGGCAUAUUUAUAGGAAUACAGAAUAUCCAAUACCCAACACAGCAAA
This is a long non-coding RNA of Neofelis nebulosa (Clouded leopard), 2797 nucleotides long. RefSeq lists it as uncharacterized. The record is from RefSeq and is a predicted model, not a curated record. The transcript has 2 exons. NCBI's taxonomy places the organism in Eukaryota, Metazoa, Chordata, Mammalia, Carnivora, Felidae.